Molecule: ribosomal RNA, 253 nt
Filed under: uncultured bacterium
Lineage: Bacteria
Description: partial 16S ribosomal RNA
Rfam family: Bacterial small subunit ribosomal RNA
Source: RNAcentral
UACGUAGGGGGCAAGCGUUAUCCGGAUUUACUGGGCGUAAAGGGAGCGCAGGCGGUGCGCCAAGUCUGAUGUGAAACCCCGGGGCUCAACCCCGGGCAUGCAUUGGAAACUGGCGGGCUGGAGUGCCGGAGAGGUAAGCGGAAUUCCUAGUGUAGCGGUGAAAUGCGUAGAUAUUAGGAGGAACACCAGUGGCGAAGGCGGCUUACUGGACGGCAACUGACGCUGAGGCUCGAAAGCGUGGGGAGCAAACAGG